UUGGCGCAGUUGGUUAGCGCGUAGGUCUCAUAUUUUGUAUGACUUUUUUAUCCUAAGGUCGAGGGUUCGAACCCCUCUCUCCGCAA
Molecule: transfer RNA, 86 nt
Filed under: Pleodorina starrii
Lineage: Eukaryota; Viridiplantae; Chlorophyta; Chlorophyceae; Chlamydomonadales; Volvocaceae
Description: tRNA-Met
Rfam family: tRNA
About the family: Transfer RNA (tRNA) molecules are approximately 80 nucleotides in length.
Source: RNAcentral